UGGGGAAUAUUGGACAAUGGGCGCAAGCCUGAUCCAGCCAUGCCGCGUGAGUGAUGAAGGCCCUAGGGUUGUAAAGCUCUUUCACCGGUGAAGAUAAUGACGGUAACCGGAGAAGAAGCCCCGGCUAACUUCGUGCCAGCAGCCGCGGUAAUACGAAGGGGGCUAGCGUUGUUCGGAUUUACUGGGCGUAAAGCGCACGUAGGCGGACUUUUAAGUCAGGGGUGAAAUCCCAGGGCUCAACCUUGGAACUGCCUUUGAAACUCCUGGUCUUGAGGUCGAGAGAGGUGAGUGGAAUUCCGAGUGUAGAGGUGAAAUUCGUAGAUAUUCGGAGGAACACCAGUGGCGAAGGCGGCUCACUGGCUCGAUACUGACGCUGGGGUGCGAAAGCGUGGGGAGCAAACAGG
This 404-nucleotide ribosomal RNA is filed under the name Actinomycetes bacterium. RNAcentral describes it as "Actinobacteria bacterium partial 16S ribosomal RNA". It matches the Rfam family "Bacterial small subunit ribosomal RNA", at positions 355 to 776 of the family's 1533-position model. The record is from RNAcentral. Lineage: Bacteria; Bacillati; Actinomycetota; Actinomycetes.